UAAUUGAAGAGUUUGAUCAUGGCUCAGAUUGAACGCUGGCGGCAGGCUUAACACAUGCAAGUCGAACGGUAGCACGAAGGAGCUUGCUCCUUGGGUGACGAGUGGCGGACGGGUGAGUAAUGCUUGGGAAUCUGGCUUAUGGAGGGGGAUAACUACGGGAAACUGUAGCUAAUACCGCGUAAUAUCGAGAGAUUAAAGUGUGGGACCGUAAGGCCACAUGCCAUAAGAUGAGCCCAAGUGGGAUUAGGUAGUUGGUGGGGUAAAGGCCUACCAAGCCGACGAUCUCUAGCUGGUCUGAGAGGAUGACCAGCCACACUGGAACUGAGAUACGGUCCAGACUCCUACGGGAGGCAGCAGUGGGGAAUAUUGCACAAUGGGGGGAACCCUGAUGCAGCCAUGCCGCGUGAAUGAAGAAGGCCUUCGGGUUGUAAAGUUCUUUCGGUGAUGAGGAAGCUUGGUGAGUUAAUAGCUCAUCAAAUUGACGUUAGUCACAGAAGAAGCACCGGCUAACUCCGUGCCAGCAGCCGCGGUAAUACGGAGGGUGCGAGCGUUAAUCGGAAUGACUGGGCGUAAAGGGCACGCAGGCGGUGACUUAAGUGAGAU
RNAcentral lists this non-coding RNA (603 nucleotides) under Pasteurellaceae bacterium 15-036681. RNAcentral describes it as "Bacterial small subunit ribosomal RNA". It matches the Rfam family "Bacterial small subunit ribosomal RNA", at positions 1 to 593 of the family's 1533-position model. Lineage: Bacteria; Pseudomonadati; Pseudomonadota; Gammaproteobacteria; Pasteurellales; Pasteurellaceae. The record is from Rfam by way of RNAcentral.